This is a long non-coding RNA of Dermacentor silvarum, 366 nucleotides long. RefSeq lists it as uncharacterized. The record is from RefSeq and is a predicted model, not a curated record. The transcript has 4 exons. NCBI's taxonomy places the organism in Eukaryota, Metazoa, Arthropoda, Arachnida, Ixodida, Ixodidae.
AAAUUGUCAUUUGGAUUUUUGAGAAGCAAAAUUCAUUCGUGCUCAUCAGCCUAUUUUUUUCCUCUGCAGGACAACGGCAUCUCGCAGCGAUCCCAGAAGAAGAGAUAAUCACGAUGGCCUCUGUAAAUACUUACAUUACUCCAAGAACAGUUGGCGCUAUGGUCAUCAUAAUUGCAUUCACUUCAGACAUUGCUUUUUCCUCAAAGAAAGAACCAGCUACAUCAACGAUGCCGCCUACCACAACUACACCCAAACCGAUUCUCUGUACCUAUAGAGAUCAAGGUUACUCGGCUGGUGAAACAGUCAAUCUCACUAUGCCUUGCGAACAGCGCCAUUGCAACGUAACGACAGGAAACGUAACAGUUA